Homo sapiens (human) is the source of this 3707-nucleotide RNA transcript. It is a transcript of the gene named COMM domain containing 4 pseudogene 1, with no coding region annotated. The record is from RefSeq and is marked validated. The transcript is spliced from 5 exons. NCBI's taxonomy places the organism in Eukaryota, Metazoa, Chordata, Mammalia, Primates, Hominidae.
UGAUGAGGCACCAGGGGUGAAGCGAGGCAUGGGCUGCUGGAGCGGGAAUGAGGGGGCGCCAGUGGCUCCGGAAACGGGUGGAGGUUGUCUGCCCUGGCCUCUCCGCAAACAGUGUGUGCGGGCGUGAGAAAAGUCCACCGCUACUCCGCUCCCGAGACAGGGGCGGGGGUACGGGGCGGUCCUCUGUGAAGUUGCGGCUGCUCUGCAGCCAGGUACUAAAGGAGCUGCUGGGACAGGGGAUUGAUUAUAAGAAGAUCCUGAAACUCACGGCUGAUGCCAAGUUUGAGUCAGGCGAUGUGAAGGCCACAGUGGCAGUGCUGAGUUUCAUGCUCUCCGGAACUGCCAAGCACAGUGUCGAUGGCGAAUCCUUGGCCAGUGAACUGCAGCAGCUGGGGCUGCCCAAAGAGCACGCGGCCAGCCUGUGCCGCUGUUAUGAGGAGAAGCAAAGCCCCUUGCAGAAGCACUUGCGGGUCUGCAGCCUACGCAGUAAGUAUGAGGCCAGCCAGGGUCCAGGCUCAUCCUAGAAGGUGCACGCAGCACACAAAGUGCGUGGAGAGUCCAGGGAGACAAUUUAACCGCAGUCACAUACCGAGCAGCCGCAGAGCCGGGACGUGGCCCUCGGUCUCCUGACCCCGCGCGCUCUGUGAUGUGUACGUACAGGAUCAGACCUUGCCCUUUCCUCCUGGCUGACCCUUCCUUAGUCCCCCGUGCCCCAUGUGUGAGCACCCAGCUCACUCUCAUUCCUCCCUCUCCAAAGCGUGGUCCCUGGCAGCACGAGUGGCAGAAGGGACAGCAGAGACUGUGGACCCCUCAGCUGCACCUAAGACCUCUGUGUGGUCUAGCCGUGUGUGCUGGGGGAGGCUUUUGGCCACCAUUUCCCCGUCUGUAAAUGAGACCGAUACCUGUAGCAUGGAGGGCAGGAGGCUGGUGUGAGUGCCAAGCACUUGGAGCAGGGCCCUGAGUGAGCAUGGACGUGGGAGCAGGGGUGUUUCUCGACUUUGUGCACCUUGGGGAUGGGAGUGGGGCUCCCUGCGUGGGUUGACAAGGCAUUGUUUUCUCCCACCCCACAUUUGUCCCAGCCCUGCAAGUCCAAUCCUUGUGGGUCUAGGAAGGAAGAAGCCCAUGGCUGUGUGACCUCAGGCUGGUGCCUGGCCCUCUCUGGCUGUGAGUUCCUGGGAAAGUCAGCACCCAAGGCAUGCCCUCAAGUUUAGCACUUUGACAAGAAGGGCGGGGACACUGGGAUCAGGCCCAACCCUCUGGCCCCAAAUCCCACGGCCCCAGCUGGAGGAUGAGGAGAUGCUGAGCUUGGAUGGGGGAAUCAAGGGUGUAAAGGGGCCCGCUCACCCCUCAGCUUGGCUCAAAGGUUCAAGGCGUCAAAGGUUCAGCCUGCGACUCAGGAAGGAGACCUGGCCCAGCCAGACACUCACCAGGACAAGGGCAACUGUGACGAGCAGGAGGCCCAGGAUGAGGAGAGCCACAGCAUAGCUGGAGAUAAAGGCAUCCAGCAGGCUGGAGGCUUUGGGGCUGGGAGUGCCUAGAGCAGAGCAAGAAGGCCAUGGCCUGGCGGGGCUUUGCCUCCCAGACUUCUAAGAAGACAGAAUCUGGGCCCAGAAGCUGCUGCGGGACCAGAGAGCUGGGACUAGGAGCACCUUGGAGGGCUCCAUGAGGAGGGGAGGCAGGCUUCAGAUCAGGGCAUGUGGAGGCAGCGAGCCCAAGGGAGGAGGCAGAGGAACAGAGGGAGGCGGGCCUGCAGAGGGAAGGAGGUGAUGACCGUGUCUACCAAGACGCCCUCUGCCUCCCACAGGGUGUGCAGGCCCUGGCGUGCACAGUCCCACACGACGGCCUGGGCUGGCGCCACCCUGAAGAAGGUGGCACCCACUCUGGCGGUCAGUGGGUCCGGCCUGCUGAGAGGAUUAUCACAGAUUUCAGGGGGCUGUGCAGCCUUGCGGGACUAGGGGAGGUCAUCUUUUCCAGCCUCCUGUCCUCAACCCCACAAUGCUGGUCUGAGCCCUGGGUCACCCAGGGCCACCCUGGACCCACCGGAAUUCCUCCACCACCACUUGGUCAAAGUUCUGCAGAGAUCUGAGGACGAGGGUCAGCUGGGGGUCAGGAGAGGAUGAAGAGGGUCACAGCUCUACCAAACGAAGCUUCAUUCCUGGUGGUGCCUGGCCCACCCCUCUGCUGCCAAUCUCAGGCUGGCCCAGCCCUGCAGAGUAGGUGCCUAGAGGCAUCGUAGCAGUUCCUGUCAUGCUGGUCUCCCCCCGGGGCCCCCUCUGGAGCCUGGUACCACAGAUCUCAGGGUAGGGGGUACAGCUCAGUCUCCCUUCCCCCUCAUGCCCCUCAUAGGGGCUUGGUCCACCAAGGCCCCUGACUGCUGGGGGACCCACACCCACGGCCCCCUUCUUUCUGACUGCUGGCCCUUCCCCAGCCUGGAUACUCGAGCCCUGGGCAGAGGGGUAACGAUCCCAGGACUGUCUUCGCAAGCAGAGAGGCUACUUGGCACCAGGCUCUUACUCCUUGGGCUGAGCUCAGCAGCAGGUGUGUCACCAAGGUCCCCUGGGCAGAAGGGGCUCAGCCCUGAGGGCCCAUCACUUGCCACGCCUGCAUGUUCCUGCUAGGCAUCCACCCUGGGGACCCAGCUUCCCCCUGCCCCCAGCUGCUGGCAGCCCCGUCUUGACUCAUCCAGGGUCCUGGAGGCCAUGCCAGGAAGCAGCCAGCAGCUGGGAGGAGCACGUGGUGUUUCUGCAUCUUUUUUUAUGGAGCUCCCGUGGGUGGGAGGGGCUACAGACUCAAGGGAGACUGCAGGCCACCCCUUCCCCACUCCCUGGCUGGGUGGGCUUCCAGCUCAGGAGUCUGACUGGAAGGAUGGGACUGUGCUGUCCCAGAGGCAGGUCUGAGGAGUCCAGGCCCAGUUUUACCCUCCAGCAGGGCCCCUUUCAUUCAUUUGUCCAGCUGGCUUUGCCCAAAACCCAGGUGAUGUCUAUGUGGACUGUGUCCCCUGUCCCCAAGGGGAGUCUGGCUCCAGUCCUGGCCUGGAACUCAGAGACCUUAGAAUUAGAGGCCACAUCUGGCAGGGAGGACCAGCCAGGGCAGGUACCAUGUUGGCAGCCCCAGACCUGACACCACGGCUCCCAUGUCCCCUCUCCACUUCCGUCCUGCAUAUCAUCUACGCUACGUGCUGUCUCUGAUGAAUCCAAGCUGUCAGCUUCUGUCAGCUUGGCCGGGAAGUCACGCUGACCGUAAGGGGAAUGGUGCAGCCUGAGUUGGGGGCUGAGUGGGAAUGGGCCUGGUGUGGGGUGGGGGAGGUGGGGGCGAGGCGGGUGUCUGGCGCCUCUCUGCUUAUCUUCCCUUCUCCUUUGCCCACGAAGGAGGCGUCUUCUCCAUGUCCCUCUGCCACCCUGGGAACAUAAAAUUCUGCCCCAGGUCUGUCUUCCUUUGGACAUAGCCCACCUACCUUCCUGUGGGACUCAGGGCUUUGUUUUGUCCUGUGGCCCACAUGAGAAGCAAUUAUCCCUGCCCUGCUCAGCUGAGAGAGGACAAACUGAGGCAGAGCAGGGGAACAACUCUGUCAUAGUCUGACUGUUAACGGCAGAGUCAAGACCAGCCCUUCCCUGAGUGUCACGUCCAGUGGACACUGUAUUAGUCCACUUUGCAUUGCUCUAGAGGAAUACCUGAGACUGGGUUAUUUAUUUAUUUAUUUUUGAGAU